Molecule: long non-coding RNA, 388 nt
Filed under: Androctonus crassicauda
Lineage: Eukaryota; Metazoa; Arthropoda; Arachnida; Scorpiones; Buthidae
Source: RNAcentral
AGAAAUAUUCCAAUGUUAUAAUAAAUGGAUGGAAACACAAAGGAAUAAACAUCAAUGGAGAAUAUUUCAAUCACCUGAGAUUUACAAACAAUAUAGUACUGUUCACCAAACACCAAAUGAACUACAUGAAAUGCUAAGUGAUCAAGACAGAAAGUGACUGCAAAAAUAGGACUGAAAAUGAACUAUGAGAAGACAAUGCUCAACACAAAAGUAAAUUCACAACCAGUAAUGAUAGAAAGUUGGACAAUUGAGAGUGGAAGAAUAUUAGUACUUAGGACAAAUAAUCACAACACCAGGAGAAUAAAUGAGAGAAAUUCACAACCAGUAAUGAUAGAAAGUUGGACAAUUGAGAGUGGAAGAAUAUUAGUACUUAGGACAAAUAAUCACA